This 508-nucleotide ribosomal RNA is filed under the name uncultured bacterium. RNAcentral's name for it is "partial 16S ribosomal RNA". It matches the Rfam family "Bacterial small subunit ribosomal RNA", at positions 30 to 523 of the family's 1533-position model. The record is from RNAcentral.
AUUGAACGCUGGCGGCAUGCCUUACACAUGCAAGUCGAACGGCAGCGGGGGAGAAGCUUGCUUUUCCUGCCGGCGAGUGGCGAACGGGUGAGUAAUACAUCGGAACGUGCCCUGUAGUGGGGGAUAACUAGUCGAAAGAUUAGCUAAUACCGCAUACGACCUGAGGGUGAAAGUGGGGGACCGCAAGGCCUCAUGCUAUAGGAGCGGCCGAUGUCUGAUUAGCUAGUUGGUGGGGUAAAGGCCUACCAAGGCGACGAUCAGUAGCUGGUCUGAGAGGACGAUCAGCCACACUGGGACUGAGACACGGCCCAGACUCCUACGGGAGGCAGCAGUGGGGAAUUUUGGACAAUGGGCGAAAGCCUGAUCCAGCAAUGCCGCGUGUGUGAAGAAGGCCUUCGGGUUGUAAAGCACUUUUGUCCGGAAAGAAAUGGCUCUGGUUAAUACCUGGGGCUAAUGACGGUACCGUAAGAAUAAGCACCGGCUAACUACGCGCCAGCCGCCGCGGUAA